Molecule: ribosomal RNA, 443 nt
Filed under: uncultured Rhodobacter sp.
Lineage: Bacteria; Pseudomonadati; Pseudomonadota; Alphaproteobacteria; Rhodobacterales
Description: bacterial SSU rRNA
Rfam family: Bacterial small subunit ribosomal RNA
Source: RNAcentral
UUCCUACGGGAGGCAGCAGUGGGGAAUCUUAGACAAUGGGCGCAAGCCUGAUCUAGCCAUGCCGCGUGAGCGAUGAAGGCCUUAGGGUUGUAAAGCUCUUUCGUGGGGGAAGAUAAUGACUGUACCCCAAGAAGAAGCCCCGGCUAACUCCGUGCCAGCAGCCGCGGUAAUACGGAGGGGGCUAGCGUUGUUCGGAAUUACUGGGCGUAAAGCGCACGUAGGCGGACUGGAAAGUCAGGGGUGAAAUCCCGGGGCUCAACCCCGGAACUGCCUUUGAAACUCCCAGUCUUGAGUUCGAGAGAGGUGAGUGGAAUUCCGAGUGUAGAGGUGAAAUUCGUAGAUAUUCGGAGGAACACCAGUGGCGAAGGCGGCUCACUGGCUCGAUACUGACGCUGAGGUGCGAAAGCGUGGGGAGCAAACAGGAUUAGAUACCCGUGUAGUCU